This 468-nucleotide ribosomal RNA is filed under the name uncultured bacterium. Its description in RNAcentral is "partial 16S ribosomal RNA". It matches the Rfam family "Bacterial small subunit ribosomal RNA", at positions 28 to 507 of the family's 1533-position model. The record is from RNAcentral.
GACGAACGCUGGCGGCGUGCUUAACACAUGCAAGUCGAACGGAAAGGCCCUGCUCUUGCGGGGUGCUCGAUUGGCGAACGGGUGAGUAACACGCGAGUAACCUGCCCUUGACUUUGGGAUAACUUCAGGAAACUGGGGCUAAUACCCGAUAGGAGCUCCUGCUGCAUGGUGGGGGUUGGAAAGAUUCGGCGGUUGGGGAUGGACUCGCGGCUUAUCAGCUUGUUUGUGGGGUAGUGGCUUACCAAGGCUUUGACGGGUAGCCGGCCUGAGAGGGUGACCGGCCACAUUGGGACUAAGAGACGGCCCAGACGCGUACGGGAGGCAGCAGUGGGGAAUAUUGCACAAGGGGCGGAAGCCUGAUGCAGCAGCGCCGCGUGCGGGAUGACGGCUUUCGGGUUGUAAACCGCUUUAGCUUGUGACGAAGCGUGAGUGACGGUAAUGGGUAAAGAAGCACCGGCUAACUACGUG